UACGAAGGGUGCAAACGUUGCUCGGAAUUAUUGGGCGUAAAGCGCACGUAGGCGGCUUAGCAAGUCGGAUGUGAAAUCCCUCGGCUCAACCAAGGAAGUGCAUCCGAAACUGCUGAGCUUGAGUACGAAAGAGGAUCGCAGAAUUCCCGGUGUAGAGGUGAAAUUCGUAGAUAUCGGGAGGAACACCAGUGGCGAAGGCGGCGAUCUGGGUCGAUACUGACGCUGAGGUGCGAAAGCGUGGGGAGCAAACAGG
RNAcentral lists this ribosomal RNA (253 nucleotides) under uncultured bacterium. RNAcentral's name for it is "partial 16S ribosomal RNA". It matches the Rfam family "Bacterial small subunit ribosomal RNA", at positions 524 to 776 of the family's 1533-position model. The record is from RNAcentral.